RNAcentral lists this ribosomal RNA (519 nucleotides) under uncultured bacterium. RNAcentral's name for it is "bacterial SSU rRNA". It matches the Rfam family "Bacterial small subunit ribosomal RNA", at positions 26 to 518 of the family's 1533-position model. The record is from RNAcentral.
AGGACGAACGCUGGCGGCGUGCCUAAUACAUGCAAGUCGAACGGUCUUUCUAUGGAAGCUUGCUUCCACUGAGGAGAUAGUGGCGAACGGGUGAGUAACACGUGGGUAACCUGCCCAUAAGAGGGGGAUAACAUCCGGAAACGGGUGCUAAUACCGCAUAGUUUUCUUGAUCGCAUGAUCGGGAAAGGAAAGACGGCCUUUGUGCUGUCGCUUAUGGAUGGACCCGCGGCGUAUUAGUUAGUUGGUGAGGUAACGGCUCACCAAGACGAUGAUACGUAGCCGACCUGAGAGGGUGAUCGGCCACAUUGGGACUGAGACACGGCCCAAACUCCUACGGGAGGCAGCAGUAGGGAAUCUUCCGCAAUGGACGAAAGUCUGACGGAGCAACGCCGCGUGAGUGAAGAAAGGUUUUCGGAUCGUAAAACUCUGUUGUCAGAGAAGAACAAGUUGGAGAGUAACUGCUCCAGCCUUGACGGUAUCUGACCAGAAAGCCACGGCUAACUACGUGCCAGCCGCCGC